CUUCGGGGCAGUGGCGGACGGCUGAGUAACACGUAGGUAACGUGCCCUUUACUGGGGGAUAACAGAGGGAAACCUCUGCUAAUACCGCAUAAGCCAUUGGCUGAAAUGCUGAUGGUUAAAGAUUCAUCGGUAAAGGAUCGGCCUGCGUCUGAUUAGCUUGUUGGUAGGGUAACGGCCUACCAAGGCAAUGAUCAGUAGUUGGUCUGAGAGGAUGACCAGCCAGAGUGGGACUGAGACACGGCCCACACUUCUACGGAAGGCAGCAGUAGGGAAUUUUGCGCAAUGGGCGAAAGCCUGACGCAGCAACACCGCGUGGAGGAUGAAGGUCUUCGGAUUGUAAACUCCUGUCAGCAGGGAAUAAAACUGACUGUACCUGCAGAGGAAGCACCGGCUAACUACGUGCCAGCAGCCGCGGUAAGACGUAGGGUGCAAGCGUUGUCCGGAAUUAUUGGGCGUAAAGAGUUCGUAGGCGGUUUCUUAAGUCUGGUGUUAAAGCCCGGAGCUCAACUCCGGCAUGGCAUCGGAAACUGGGUGACUAGAGUGUGGCAGAGGUAUCGGGAAUUCCUGGUGUAGCGGUGAAAUGCGUAGAUAUCAGGAGGAACACCGGUGGCGAAAGCGCGAUACUGGGCCAUAACUGACGCUGAGGAACGAAAGCCAGGGGAGCGAAAGGGAUUAGAUACCCCUGUAGUCCUGGCCGUAAACGAUGGAUACUAGGUGUUGGAGGAUUCGACCCCUUCAGUGCCGUAGCUAA
Molecule: ribosomal RNA, 751 nt
Filed under: uncultured bacterium
Lineage: Bacteria
Description: bacterial SSU rRNA
Rfam family: Bacterial small subunit ribosomal RNA
Source: RNAcentral